This 1299-nucleotide long non-coding RNA is filed under the name Mus spicilegus (steppe mouse). Its description in RNAcentral is "lncRNA (ENSMSIG00000029133.1)". The record is from RNAcentral. Lineage: Eukaryota; Metazoa; Chordata; Mammalia; Rodentia; Muridae.
CUCACGUAAUACUUGGGAAGCUGCUCACGACACACCAACCUCAGGUCUUGAGGUUGAAUCCAGAUUCACUAAUGCUAUGUCCUUUUUCAUAGAUGCAGGGUGGCUUCAGGAAGUCUCCUAGGCUCUGUCUGGGGUGGGAGUCAAGCCCAGCAGAAGAAGAGCCUUCCUACACAUAGAUCUUCUAUGUCUCUGCACGGAUAUGAGGCCCUCCUAUGUUCCCAAGCAGAGAAUGUGUAGGAUGCUCAGAGUUUUCUGUGAAGUCUACACUCACACGUGAUGGAGGUGAAACAACAGACUCUGGAACAAGGAACAUGCAUGCCAUUCAUGUCCCUUCUUUUCUUCAGGACUCUCCUAUAGAUAUUCCUCUUAAGCUGAUAUUUAUCAUUGUCAUCAUCACCAUCACUCUUAAGUACAAGUUGGGGAAUAUCACUCCUUCAAUCAAGCUAAGGGGCUUCACAAUCUUUUGAAUGAAGACAGAUACUUGCAUGGUUUAGAGACAAGAGCUGGGUAGGGACAAUGGUUCAGCAAAGUGCUUUCUAUGCAAGCAUGAGACCCAAAUUCAGAUCUCCAGAGCCUAUAUGAGGACCACGUGUGAUGCUUGUCUAUAACCACUGUUACGAUUUGUAUAUGCUGGCCCAGGAAGUGGCACUAUCAAAGGUGUGGCCCUGUUGAAGUAGAUAUGGCCUUGUUGGAGUAGGCGUUUCACUCUGAGUGUGGUAUUUAAGACCCUCAUCCUAGCUGCCUAGAAGCCAGUAUUCUGCUAGCAGCCUUCAGAUGAAGAUGUAGAACUCUCAACUCCUCCUGCACCAUGCCUGCCUGGAUGCUGCCAUGUUCCCACCUUGAUGAUAAUGGACUGAACCUCUGAACCUGUAAUCCAGUCUCAGUUAAAUGUUGUCCUUAUAAGAGUUGCCUUGGUCAUGGUGUCUGUUCCCAGCCGUAAAACCCUAACUAAGACAACCACUGUCGUGCCUAGGUCUGUUUAUGUCAGCUUGACACAGGAUAGAGUUAUCUGAACGAAGGGAACUUCAAUUGAGAAAAGGCUUCCACAAGAUCUGGUUGUCAUUAUCUUAAAUAGUGAUCAAUGAGAAAAGGCCCAUCUCAUUGUGGAUGGUCCCAUCUCUGGGCUGGUGGUCCUGGGUUCUAUAGGAGAGUAGGCUGAGCAAACCAUGAGUUAGUAAGCCAUGUACCAUUCUAUGACCUCGGCAUCAGCUCCUGCCUCCAGGUUCUGGUCCUGUUUGAGUUCCUGUCUUGGCUUCCUUCACUGAUGGACUGUACUGUGGAAAUAUAAGACAAAUAAAC